GACGAACGCUGGGCGGCGUGGAUUAGGCAUGCAAGUCGAACGGUAGGAUACCUUCGGGUAUCUGAGAGUGGCGAACGGGUGAGUAACACGUAGGUGAUCUACCCUCAAGAUUGGGACAACCCAGGGAAACUUGGGCUAAUACCGGAUGAAAGCAGCAGUGAUGUUGUUUGAAAGGUGGCGUAAGCUGCCGUUUGGGGAUGAGCCUGCGCUCUAUUAGUUAGUUGGCGGGGUAAAGGCCCACCAAGGCGAUGAUAGAUAGGCGGCCUUAACGGGUGGUCGCCCACACUGGGAUUGAGAUACGGCCCAGACUCCUACGGGAGGCAGCAGUCGAGAAUAGUCUGCAAUGGCCGAAAGGCUGAUAGUGCGACGCCGCGUGAACGAAGAAGCCCUUCGGGGUGUAAAGUUCUUUUAUAUGUGAGCAGUGCUUUCUAUGUGAACAGCAUGGGGAGAGAGAUAUUAGCAUAUGAAUAAGCAACGGCUAACUCCGUG
RNAcentral lists this ribosomal RNA (489 nucleotides) under uncultured bacterium. RNAcentral's name for it is "bacterial SSU rRNA". It matches the Rfam family "Bacterial small subunit ribosomal RNA", at positions 28 to 507 of the family's 1533-position model. The record is from RNAcentral.